RNAcentral lists this ribosomal RNA (349 nucleotides) under Citrus x clementina. RNAcentral describes it as "Citrus clementina partial small subunit ribosomal RNA". The record is from RNAcentral. Lineage: Eukaryota; Viridiplantae; Streptophyta; Magnoliopsida; Sapindales; Rutaceae.
AAGUCGUAACAAGGUAGCCGUAGGGGAACCUGUGGCUGGAUUGAAUCCUUCGCGAUGGAAAUGCCCUCUUCCCCCAACCAGGGGGCUAGCUUGCUUCCCCACUGCGGCGGGCGGGCGAAGGGUCGCCGUAGGUGAGGUAUCCGGGGGCAAAAUCCAAGAGUUCCAUUUUCCUUCUUGUUCAUCAAUCGGAAAUCAAGACAAACCGGGCACUACGGUGAGACGUGAAAACACCCGAUCCCAUUCCGACCUCGAUCUGUGGAAUCGUCUUGCGCCAUAUGUACUGAGAUUGUUCGGGAGACAUGGUCCAAGCCCGGUGAAGAAAUGAAAAUUUCAAAUUGCAUAUCAAUAA